UUAAUAAAAACCAUAAAUUUUAUGCCUCUCCCAUCUCAAUAUUUAACGGACAUUAACUCUUAUAACAACUAGUCAAAAAGAAAUGUUAAAAAUGAUGAUGUAGAAAAUAAUAAUUUUUGUAGUUAAAAACAAAUAAAUAAAAACUCACUUGUCAAUAAUUGGCUAAUACAUUUAAAAGAUAAAAUAAAUAAUUUGUGUCAAAAAUAAAAUAAUAAUUAUAGUCACUCUUUUCACCAUUUCUCUCUCAUCUCACAUCACAAAACAGUUGCUGUCCUCACCGCCAUCUAUUGCCGUCAGAAGCUAUGCCAGUGCUGAUACCGAUAAUCGAGUGAUGGCAACAGCGUAAUAGAUCGUGAAAGGAUUGAUAUUGCUCCGUUGAUGUGCCUAUUAUUUUGUAUUUUUCAGAGAAGUAUUUCUAGAUUCAUAUUUUUGAAAUAAAAAGUCCCAGCAAAAUCAUGUAAAACCUGAACACAAAAUUCAGCGAUUUCCCCAGAAAACCCUAGCUACAUUUAAAAUCUAAAUUCUCCAAGAAAUUGACCUUCGCUUGCAAACGGUUUGGAGCCUUGUAUCUUGAUGCUCUGUAAGUCAUGAGAUUUCUCAAGUGGGCGUUUUUAAAUGUUAAUCAUGGGAUAUUUCUUCCUUACGUAAGGGUCAUCAUCUAAGAAAAUUGUUAUUGAUGCGGUGGAUGGUGGUGGACGAUGGUGGCAGUGGUUGUAAUGGUACUACUGGCGGCCGCAAUGAAUGACAAGCAGUAAUAGUAAUUCUUUUCAAUUUAUUUUAAUUGAAGAUUGUAUGAUUUAUUCUUCUUAAUGUAUUAGCUAACUAUUUCGUGAAACGUCAACUGUAUUUUUUUGUUUUUAAUUGCAGUAAAUUAUUAUUUUCCA
Ricinus communis (castor bean) is the source of this 884-nucleotide long non-coding RNA. RefSeq lists it as uncharacterized. The record is from RefSeq and is a predicted model, not a curated record. The transcript has 2 exons. NCBI's taxonomy places the organism in Eukaryota, Viridiplantae, Streptophyta, Magnoliopsida, Malpighiales, Euphorbiaceae.